This is a non-coding RNA of Sciurus carolinensis (gray squirrel), 72 nucleotides long. Lineage: Eukaryota; Metazoa; Chordata; Mammalia; Rodentia; Sciuridae. The record is from the annotation of a RefSeq genome assembly.
UGGGAUGUGGCUCAGUGGUAGAGUGCUUGCCUAGCAUGCACAAGGCCCUUGGUUCAAUUCCUAGCACCACAA